GGAACGGUGUAGGAAAGAUCGCUUGCUUUGCAAGCAAGAGGCUGGGGGUUCGAGUCCCCCACAGUCCA
Candidatus Buchananbacteria bacterium is the source of this 68-nucleotide non-coding RNA. Lineage: Bacteria; Candidatus Buchananiibacteriota. The record is from Rfam.